UGGGGAAUUUUGGACAAUGGGCGCAAGCCUGAUCCAGCCAUGCCGCGUGCGGGAAGAAGGCCUUCGGGUUGUAAACCGCUUUUGUCAGGGAAGAAAUCUUCUGAGUUAAUACCUCGGGAGGAUGACGGUACCUGAAGAAUAAGCACCGGCUAACUACGUGCCAGCAGCCGCGGUAAUACGUAGGGUGCAAGCGUUAAUCGGAAUUACUGGGCGUAAAGCGUGCGCAGGCGGUUUUGUAAGACAGAGGUGAAAUCCCCGGGCUCAACCUGGGAACUGCCUUUGUGACUGCAAGGCUUGAGUGCGGCAGAGGGGGGAUGGAAUUCCGCGUGUAGCAGUGAAAUGCGUAGAUAUGCGGAGGAACACCGAUGGCGAAGGCAAUCCCCUGGGCCUGCACUGACGCUCAUGCACGAAAGCGUGGGGAGCAAACAGGAUUAGAUACCCUGGUAGUCCACGCCCUAAACGAUGUCAACUGGUUGUUGGGAAGGUUCCUUCUCAGUAACGUAGCUAACGCGUGAAGUUGACCGCCUGGGGAGUACGGCCGC
RNAcentral lists this ribosomal RNA (542 nucleotides) under uncultured bacterium. Its description in RNAcentral is "partial 16S ribosomal RNA". It matches the Rfam family "Bacterial small subunit ribosomal RNA", at positions 355 to 889 of the family's 1533-position model. The record is from RNAcentral.